Molecule: ribosomal RNA, 1089 nt
Filed under: Cucujomyces sp.
Lineage: Eukaryota; Fungi; Ascomycota; Laboulbeniomycetes; Laboulbeniales; Laboulbeniaceae
Description: SSU rRNA
Rfam family: Eukaryotic small subunit ribosomal RNA
Source: RNAcentral
AGUCAUAUGCUUGUCUCAAAGACUAAGCCAUGCAUGUGUAAGUAUAAGCAAUCUAUACAGUGAAACUGCGAAUGGCUCAUUAAAUCAGUUAUUGUUUAUUUGAUGGUACCUUACUACUUGGAUAACUGUGGUAAUUCUAGAGCUAAUACAUGCCAAAAACCUCGACUUCUGAAGAGGUGUAUUUAUUAGAUAUUAAACCAAUCUUCCUUCGGGAUGUUCUGGUGAUUCAUAAUAACUUUUCGCAGCGCAUUGUCUUGUGCAAGCGCGAGAUCAUUCAAAUAUCUGCCCUAUCAAGUUUCGAUGUGAGGGUAGUGUCCUCACAUGCUUUUGACGGGUAACGGGGAAUUAGGGUUCGACUCCGGAGAGGGAGCCUGAGAAAUGGCUACCACAUCCAAGGAAGGCAGCAGGCGCGCAAAUUACCCAAUCCCGACUCGGGGAGGUAGUGACAAGAAAUACUGAUAGCAGGGUCCUUUAUGAUCUUGUGAUUGGAAUGAGUACAAUUUAAACCCAUUAACGAGGAGCAACUAAAGGGCAAGUCUGGUGCCAGCAGCCGCGGUAAUUCCAGCUUUAGUAGCAUACAUUAAAGUUGUUGCAGUUAAAACGCCCGUAGUUGAAGUUUGGGCUUCAUCAGCUGGUCCGCCUCACCGCGAGUACUGGUAUGACUGGGUCUUUCUUCUUGGAGAACUGCAUGCUCUUUAUUGAGUGUGUAAGUGAACCAGGACUUUUACUUUGAAUAAAUUAGAGUGUUUCAAGCAGGCUUUUGCAUGAAUAUCUUAGCAUGGAAUAAUGAAAUAUGACGAGCUGUCGUAUUUUAUUGGUUUUCACGACUGCCGUAAUGAUUAAUAGGGAUGGUCGGGGGCAUCGGUAUUCAAUCGUCAGAGGUGAAAUUCUUGGAUUGAUUGAAGACCAACCGCUGCGAAAGCAUUUGCCAUGGAUGUUUUCAUUAAUCAAGGACGAAAGUUAAGUGAGCGAAAACGAUCAGAUACCGUUGUAGUCUUAACCGUAAACGAUGCCGACUAGGGAUCGGGUGGUGUCUUCUUAUAAAUGACCUGCUCGGCACCUUGUGAGAAAUCAGAGUUUUUGGGUUCU